Molecule: ribosomal RNA, 229 nt
Filed under: uncultured bacterium
Lineage: Bacteria
Description: partial 16S ribosomal RNA
Rfam family: Bacterial small subunit ribosomal RNA
Source: RNAcentral
UGCGUAGGCGGAAUGAUUAGUCAGUGGUGAAAUCCCCCGGCUCAACCGGGGAACUGCCAUUGAUACUGUCAUUCUUGAGUACACUUGAAGUGGGCGGAAUGUAUCAUGUAGCGGUGAAAUGCAUAGAUAUGAUACAGAACACCGAUAGCGAAGGCAGCUCACUAAAUUGUAACUGACGCUAAGGCACGAAAGCGUGGGGAGCAAACAGGAUUAGAUACCCUGGUAGUCC